CAAGUCUCAGCAAGACAAAGAGAGUUUAGAAUGAGCCGUGGAAUGCAAAAGCUUCAGGCAGAGAAGGGAGUCUUGCAGUGAAGAAAAGUCUUCUGUGUCAAAAGGAGCUGUGGUGUUUUACUGAGAGUUUAGUAAAUUAUUAACACACUGGUCUGCUGCUUAAAAAUAUAUUAUCUAUCUAUACUGGUUGAAGGUGUGUAGUCUGCAGCUGCAAAAGAGGUAGCUCUGAUCUACUCAAACCUGUGGGCAUGAGAUGGAAAGACUGGUUUAAAGGUGAGAACUAAUAGCCUUGAAUCUCUAUGUUAAAUUUGAGGAAGAGUGUCCAAAGAAGAGCAAUGAAGCUGGUUAAAGGUCCUGAGAACAACUCUAGUGAGGAGCAGAAACCAGAGAGGUGCAGCCGGGCGGGCAGGAGGAGACCAAGCGGAGCUCUGGGUCAGGAACCCCCCCCAGCACGCAGCGGGACUUACCAUGCCGGGCGGUGCGAGGUCGGAGAGCGGCGAUGCUCAAGCGGGUGGCAGCGCUGGGUGACCGGAGGCCGGACCCGAGGAUGCCGCCCACACCCACGGCACCGGAGAAGCGGCUCCACCCGCGGGCUGAGUGGCCCCGGAGCGAGGAGCGCGGGGCGCGGAGCAUCCCGGAGAGGCUCAGGCUCCAGAACAUCCCUGACCUGCCCUGCCCUGCAGAACCCAGCCCAGUCCGUCCGCAUGCCCUGUUCGGGCGGUAAUCCCACCUCUCCGGUCCAGCGGUAG
Molecule: long non-coding RNA, 749 nt
Filed under: Lepidothrix coronata (blue-crowned manakin)
Lineage: Eukaryota; Metazoa; Chordata; Aves; Passeriformes; Pipridae
Description: lncRNA (ENSLCOG00000011588.1)
Source: RNAcentral